Molecule: ribosomal RNA, 908 nt
Filed under: uncultured bacterium
Lineage: Bacteria
Description: bacterial SSU rRNA
Rfam family: Bacterial small subunit ribosomal RNA
Source: RNAcentral
AGAGUUUGAUCCUGGCUCAGGAUGAACGCUGGCGGCGUGCUUAACACAUGCAAGUCGAACGAAGCACUUUAACUUGAUUUCUUCGGAAUGAUUGUUCUUGUGACUGAGUGGCGGACGGGUGAGUAACGCGUGGGUAACCUGCCUCAUACAGGGGGAUAACAGUUAGAAAUGACUGCUAAUACCGCAUAAGCGCACAGUACCGCAUAGUACAGUGUGAAAAACUCCGGUGGUAUGAGAUGGACCCGCGUCUGAUUAGCUAGUUGGUGGGGUAACGGCCUACCAAGGCGACGAUCAGUAGCCGACCUGAGAGGGUGACCGGCCACAUUGGGACUGAGACACGGCCCAAACUCCUACGGGAGGCAGCAGUGGGGAAUAUUGCACAAUGGGCGAAAGCCUGAUGCAGCGACGCCGCGUGAACGAAGAAGUAUUUCGGUAUGUAAAGUUCUAUCAGCAGGGAAGAUAAUGACGGUACCUGACUAAGAAGCACCGGCUAAAUACGUGCCAGCAGCCGCGGUAAUACGUAUGGUGCAAGCGUUAUCCGGAUUUACUGGGUGUAAAGGGAGCGCAGGCGGUACGGCAAGUCUGAUGUGAAAGCCCGGGGCUCAACCCCGGUACUGCAUUGGAAACUGUCGAACUAGAGUGUCGGAGGGGUAAGCGGAAUUCCUAGUGUAGCGGUGAAAUGCGUAGAUAUUAGGAGGAACACCAGUGGCGAAGGCGGCUUACUGGACGAUAACUGACGCUGAGGCUCGAAAGCGUGGGGAGCAAACAGGAUUAGAUACCCUGGUAGUCCACGCUGUAAACGAUGAAUACUAGGUGUCGGGACCCACAGGGUUUCGGUGCCGCAGCAACGCAAUAAGUAUUCCACCUGGGGAGUACGUUCGCAGAUGAAACUCAAAGGAAUUGACGGG